AUUGAACGCUGGCGGCAUGCCUAACACAUGCAAGUCGAGCGGAUAAAGGGAGCUUGCUCCUGGAUUCAGCGGCGGACGGGUGAGUAAUGCCUAGGAAUCUGCCUGGUAGGGGGGGAUAACGUCCGGAAACGGGCGCUAAUACCGCAUACGUCCUGAGGGAGAAAGGGGGGGAUCUUCGGACCUCACGCUAUCAGAUGAGCCUAGGUCGGAGUAGCUAGUUGGGGGGAUGAAGGCAUACCGAGGCGACGAUCCGUAGCUGUUCUGAGUGGGUGAUCAGACACAGUGACACGGAGACACGGUACAGACUUAUGCGGGAGGCAGGAGUGGAGUAUAUUGGAAUGGGGGCGAGCGUGAGAUAGCGACACGGCGUGUGUGAAGAAGGUCUUCGGAUUGUAAAGCACUUUAAGUUGGGAGGAAGGGCAGUAAGUUAAUACCUUGCUGUUUUGACGGUACCAAAAGAAUAAGCACCGGCUAACUUCGUG
This 482-nucleotide ribosomal RNA is filed under the name uncultured bacterium. Its description in RNAcentral is "partial 16S ribosomal RNA". It matches the Rfam family "Bacterial small subunit ribosomal RNA", at positions 30 to 507 of the family's 1533-position model. The record is from RNAcentral.